Pelobates cultripes (western spadefoot toad) is the source of this 275-nucleotide non-coding RNA. Lineage: Eukaryota; Metazoa; Chordata; Amphibia; Anura; Pelobatidae. The record is from the annotation of a GenBank genome assembly.
GUGUGUGUGUGUAUAAAACAAUCCCUCCCCUUUUCCCAUAUAAGGAAUACUUCCGGUCUUUGGCCGUGUAUUCCCGCCUCCCCACAUUCUCUAUGCGUCCAUCUUGACCUCCUCAACAUGGCGGCAAUAAGCUGCUAGCUCCGGUUCACUACUUCCGGUUUCCGUCUUAGUCAGAAGUCGUCACUUUCGGUUUCGUCAUCCAGCGGCCGGAUAGUGACGUAUUCGUGUUCAUCCAGGGGAGGAGUGGGCGGAAUACAUCUCAGUAUAAUUAAGAG